RNAcentral lists this ribosomal RNA (495 nucleotides) under uncultured bacterium. RNAcentral's name for it is "bacterial SSU rRNA". It matches the Rfam family "Bacterial small subunit ribosomal RNA", at positions 29 to 517 of the family's 1533-position model. The record is from RNAcentral.
AUUGAACGCUGGCGGCGUGCUUAACACAUGCAAGUCGAUCGGUAACAGGUGUAGCAAUACAUGCUGACGAGAGGCGGACGGGUGAGUAAUGCUUGGGAAUCUGCCUAUUAGUGGGGGACAACCCGGGGAAACUCGGGCUAAUACCGCAUACGCUCUACGGAGGAAAGCCGGGGACCGCAAGGCCUGGCGCUAAUAGAUGAGCCCAAGUCGGAUUAGCUAGUUGGUAGGGAACGGCCUACCAAGGCGACAAUCCGUAGCUGGUCUGAGAGGACGACCAGCCACACCGGAACUGAGACACGGUCCGGACUCCUACGGGAGGCAGCAGUGGGGAAUAUUGGACAAUGGGGGCAACCCUGAUCCAGCGACGCCGCGUGGGUGAAGAAGGCCUGCGGGUUGUAAAGCCCUUUCGGUGGGGAAGAAAAGUCUCGACCUAAUACGUCGGGACCUUGACGUAACCCACUAAAGAAGCACCGGCUAACUCUGUGCCAGCAGCCG